UCUCCGUUGGUGAACCAGCGGAGGGAUCAUUACCGAGUACUAUAACUCAUAACCCUUUGUGAACCUUCAUACCUGUUGCUUCGGCGGCGCGCCUCCCGGGGCGUGCCCGCCGGCAUUAUCAGAAUCUCUGUUCGAACCCGACGAUACUUCUGAGUGUUCUAAGCGAACUGUUAAAACUUUCAACAACGGAUCUCUUGGCUCCAGCAUCGAUGAAGAACGCAGC
This 223-nucleotide unclassified non-coding RNA is filed under the name uncultured fungus. Its description in RNAcentral is "sequence contains ITS1, 5.8S rRNA gene". The stretch from base 175 to 223 matches the Rfam family "5.8S ribosomal RNA", at positions 1 to 49 of the family's 154-position model. The record is from RNAcentral. Lineage: Eukaryota; Fungi.